GUGACCCAGCAUUGUGGUACAGUGGAGACCCUGGAGAUUGUGCCUUGGACGGUCUUCUUUGAUGGAUCCACGUGUGAUCGGGGGCAGGAAUCGGCAUAGUGCUAAUUUCCCCUCGGGGAGAGAAAUAUGAGUUCUCUUUGCCGAUUGUUGCCACGUCAACAAAUAAUCAGGCCGAGUAUCAAGCUCUAAUAAAGGGGUUGGAAUUGCUACGGGAAAUUCAUGCUGAUGCUGUUGAAAUCUUCCGAGAUUCUAUGCUAGUUAUAAAUCAAUUGGCUGGAAGCUAUGAAUGCCGAAGUGAGGUCCUUAUAACUUAUCACGAGAGGAGUAUGCAGCUGUUAAAGGAAUUCAAAGAUUUCCGAUUAGAGCAUGUUCCUCGAUUGCAUAAUGAAGAGGCCAAUCGGUUGGCUCAGCAUGCCUCGGGAUACCAGCCUAUGAUAAUGCAAUAUCGGCAAUCGGUGCCGAUGAUUGGAGGAAAGAGAUCAUUGAUUAUUUAAAGGACCCAUCUAAGAAAGUUGAGAGGCGUGUUCGGUUUCAAGCCACCAAGUACAUACUCCUCAGGGAUGAGUUAUAUUACCGAACUAUUGACGGGAUUCUUGUCAGAUGCUUAGGUAGUGAUGAGGCUAGAAGUUUGAUGGGAGAAAUCCAUGAGGGGGUGUGUGGUGCACAUCAGUCAACUUUCAAAUACACCUCUGCCACCUGCUAGCUACAUCAAGAGAAAUUACGUCAAAAUUCAGCUUGGGGGAGAGCACCCCCAUUUAUCUCGAUAAGUAUUUCUAUCUAUCUAUCUUUAUACCUAUAUUAUUUUAGAGUAUAAAUAUACAUAACUAUGAAAAACCAAAUAACGAUUUUAUGCUUAUAUAUAUAUAUGUCUUUUGCUUAGUGUGAUUAAUAAAUAAAUAAAGUGGCUUUGCUAAUCUGUAUCUAAAUAAAACUCAAGCAUGGAUAAGAUGAAUAGUUGCUCUGCCUAAUUUGCACAUUUUAAGUUCUCUCUCAAGUUUAGAUAUAACUGUUAUAAUUUAAAGCUUGCUCUAGACCUAAACUUGUGGGAUGAAAACUUGAUCUGAAUUCUAAGUUGUUAAUGGAUACGAUAUGGGAAGGUUGAGCUGCUGUUUAUCUGUUCCUAGAGAUGCUAGAAUUCUGGAGAAUUUUAUCUUUGAAAAUCUUUAAAAUGUUGCAUGAUGAGUUCCUGUAUGAUGAGAGUUUAAAUUCCUACCACAGCCAUAUAUAUAUGCUUGCUAGACUUUGAGCCACACAUUUACUAUUUACUGCUUAUGAGCAUUGAGUGUGGUCAAGCUGUGUAGACCCUUAGGAGCUUGUCAUGUGGUUAAAUCAAUAUUCACUUGCACGUUCACUCAUAUAUGCUACUUCUACUCCGGAACUACCAUCCACAUAUAUCCAUCCAUUUCCAUCUCCAGAAUCACCUAAAAAUAUUCUACUCCUAAUCCGAGAGAGAAUAGCCAAAAAUAUCUCUGUUUUUUUUUCCUUGUGAAAUAAAUGCUCAAGUUAUCUUGUUACUACCACUUGCUAUAUUAUCUCAAGAGAUGAGUGCUCUAAAAAAAUAUAAAAAAAUAAAUAAAUACGAGGAAAUAAAAAGGAGCAAAUGCUCGGAACCUCGAAAGAAAAGAAAAAGUGAGACGAGAGGUAAAAAUGGACAAGUGUCUGACAGUAGAAUUAGGGGUACAAGAUACCCACCUGAGAGAAAAGAAAAAUAUAGAGCAUCUCAUUCUCCUCAUAAAGUUUCAAAAAGCAAGGAAGGUAUGUAUCCCCUCAAAAGAGCAAAAGUAGAAUUAGACUUUCACCAUUGUUAUCACCAUCAUCACCAUACACCAUUCAUUCGCCACACAUGCACAUCUUGAUUAAACUUAUUGGCUUGUUUCAUUGGAUCCAUGGUUUGACUAUGCAAUAAAUGUCUUGUAAGUAUGUAUAUUUUAUCUCCCACCUAUGAGCUCCAGAUAUUAAAGCCUUAUUAGAGUAGGGUGAGAGAGAAGGCAAUGUCACUAUGCUUUAUACCACAAAAACUACAUAUCUUGAGAGAAGGCAUAUACCAUCACUGCCUUGGUAAGGAUCCAGAAAUACCACAAAAGAGAGAUCUGAGAGAAUCAUACAAGGAAUCUCUGAGUUUUAUUUGAAAAUCUGCAAAAACUCCAGAGCUAUAGCUGAUCAAGAAUAAGAGACAUGGCACUUGGCUAGACUGUUCUAUCUUUUAACCACUCAAGACAGAAGUGACGGUUACAAGUCCCAUGGUAAAGGUAAAGUAAGUAAGUUUUAAGUCUUGACAGUUUACUCUAACUCAGAGAUGAGAUCUUAUUUAAAAAGUAUGUGUACCGUCAAUUCUUUUUAAAAUAUUGCAACAACUUAUGAUCCAUAGCUGAGUCUGUCCUUGCUCAGGGACGAGCAAGAGGUAAGCUUGGGGGAGUUUGUUGACGGUCCUUAAGUAUCAAAUUUAAUUAUCAAAUAAAUAAAGAAAAGGAUCCAAAUGAAAUCAACAUCUAGACUUAGGGUUUUAUCUGACAGAAUUCCACGAGUUUUGGUGUUUGUCUAUUUCUACAGGGGGUUAUCAGGAAAUACGGAAGAAAGGCCCACACGUCGGGAUUACAUAGAGAUAUUAACGGGCCACGCAAUUAUCUUACAUCUAGAAGACUCCAGAAGCCACGAGACCGAAGCGGAGGCGAAACGGGGUCAGAGGCAGGGCGCCCGCCCUCCUGCCCUGGGCGCCCGCCCCCUCCCUGAGUCCAAUCAGGACUCUGCUUCGUGGGAGAUCUCCACCGACCUAAAGGAUGAAUCUAAACCAUACAAUCUAUGUCGGUUUGAUCCAACGGCCCAUAUUCACUUGAAGGGACUAUAAAACCAGACCCCCUGGCCCCUGGAGGAGAGAGCCUCUCAACCCUAAUUCAUUAUUCCUCAAGGGAGAAGAAGCCUCUGAUCAAGAUUAGAGCCACCACAUCAAUUAGAUAUCUAGAUUAGCAUAGCUACAUAGGAUUAGAACUAGAAGGAGUCAAUCUUCGAUUGGUUUCCGGAUCUGUCAGGAGGAUUCUUGGUAAUUCUCUAAUUGUGCUUCUAAUUGCUUUCUAAUUAUCUUUGUUCUUCAAUAUUAUGAAUAUGACUUUGUUCUACUUCAAUAUAUUGCUUAUGACUUUGCUCUACUUGCUUAUAUUCAAGAUUAUAUUGUUCUUAGUUUAUCAUAGUUAUGUACUUGGCUUAGUUAGAUUGGAUCUAUAUACAUGCUUAGGAUCGUAUAGUGUUUAUCCAUCGGAUCCAUGGGUAAAUGAUAGAUAUUGUGUAGGCGUGGUGCUUAUACCGUAUUUAUCUGCGAUUGUACCCAAUAUGCCAGAUCGUGGGGUGGUUCGUGAUAGUGACAGCUUCAUUGAUUCUUAUAUAGUCCCCCUCUCGUGUAUUGGGCUGGCAGAGCAAUAUUAUUACAGGGGAGUGAUUGCUAUGUUUCUCAUUUACCUUGCUAAUAUCUCUAUGCAUGGGCGUAGUCUUGUCUCGCAAUGAUUGCUAAGUAUGCUUGCACUAACUAUGAUAAUGCUAGACUAUAUAGUUGAGAAUAACUUAGGGAAUAUUCUUGUAGUUCAUUCUAAUACCAUGCUAAUGACUUUCUAGAGUAUCUAAUUGAGGUGCUUAUCAUAUUUAUUAUGUGGCUAGAUCAGACUAAUUAUCUUUGUCACUAUUAUUAUUUCAUAUAUCCUUUAUGUCACACUUAUCCCUGUAUGAAGAGUUAGAUAAAUGUUCUCAAUUAUACAUGCAAUGAUAGAUACUCAAUCUCAUAUUCUAUUCUGUAAUCAAUAGUGAUGAUUGCUAAUCCCUUCCUAGUGGUAAAAAUAUAAAUAACGAUACCUGGAAUACUUCCCGGUUAAAAUGCUACAUCGGUAUUAAUCUGUGCGCUUGCAGAUCCCAAUCAUUAUUUAUUUAGAAGAGCAAUUGCAUAUUUCAAUACCGCGUCUCUUAUAUCAUGCUGGGGAUGACAACUUGGCUUAAGUGGUGUGAGGGAUAGGUUUGGAAUUUUUGGCACCGUUACUAGAUUUAGAGAACUUAGUCUACUUUUGGUAAUGAUGUUAAGAAUACCCAACAAGUAUUUUUGGCGCCGUUGCCGGGGAAGGUUGAUUACUAAUCAGAAAUGGAAUAAAAGAUUUUGAGUUAUCAUUCGCAUCACUAAUAUGAUUGAGCUUAUCUAUUCUCUCAUACAGUUUUACCCCGAUAUUUUUCUAUUUUAUCUUAUGCAGGGGAAUGUAUGAAUAGAAGACAUCUUCCAGGAAAUUUUGUUGACAAUCCCGAAGCAUUAUUCAAGAAGACGAGAGCCAAGCUCAAGACGAGAUCAUCAACACUUCAGCAAGAAGCUUCAUCCAAUCAAGAAGAUCACCGGAACAUGUCUUCAGAGUUCGAGGCCAUGGCGAACAAAUCAAUCCGCGAGUUCUUAGCUCCCACUACGGACAACAUCCGCACUGGACCUGCUGCAAAGAUCGAUGGCAACUUUGAGCUUAAGCCUGGACUUAUCAAUAUGGUGCAAUUCAACCAGUUCUGUGGGAAGGCACACGAAGAUGCUAGUGCUCAUUUACAACACUUCCUGGAGAUUUGCAACACAUUCACCAUAUCAGGAGUUUCCAAAGAUGCUAUACUACUUCGCCUCUUCCCAUUCUCACUGUUAGGAAGAGCGAAGCAGUGGUUCUACGCUACAAAGGAGAAGAAUACUACAUGGGCACUCUGCUCAACAAACUUCCUGGCAAAGUUCUUUCACAUGGGCAAGACCAAUGCUCUCCGUGGGAAGAUUACAAGUUUUCAGCAACAAAAUGAUGAAUCUGUUCCAGAAGCAUGGGAGCGCUUUCAAGACUACAUCCUAGAAUGUCCCCAUCAUGGAAUGGAGAGUUGGCUAUUGAUGCAGACAUUUUAUCAUGGGCUCGGCAACAGUGCCCGAGAAACCAUGGAUGCUGCAGCUGGAGGAGCAUUCUUAUCACUCACUAUACCACAAGCCACAGCUCUUGUGGAGAAGAUGGCGUCCAAUCAAGGCUGGAAUGAAGAGAGGACCCAGACACGCAAGAGAGGUGGAGGUAUGCAUCAGCUGAAGGAGGUAGACAUGCUGUCUGCAAAGCUAGACCUGCUCAUGAAGAAGCUCGACGAUAGAGCUGGAGACAAGAAAGAAGUUAUGCACAUCUACGACUCUCACAUGACUUGUGAGGAGUGUGGAGAUACUGGACACUCAGGCAACCACUGCCCUGAGAUGCUUGAGGAUGUGAACUACAUCAACAACAACAACUACUACUACUACAACCGUCCUCAACAAAAUCAAGGUUGGAAUCAACAGAGGCCUAACUACUCAGGUAAUUAUCAAGGUAACAAUUCUUACAACAAUAAUAAUAAUUUUCCACCUUUGAGAGAGUUAGUGUCUAAUCAAGGAAAGCUAAUGGAUAACCUAUCUAAGAAAUUGGCAUCUAAUGAUAAAAUGCUAGAAAAUAUAAAUAAUAGAAUGGAUAAUUUCUCUACUGCCAUCAAGAAUCAAAUUAGCUUUAAUAAAAUGAUUGAAUCUCAGUUAAAUCAAAUAGCUGCUGCUGUUCCUACUACUAACUCCGGUAUACCAUCACAACCGGAAGGAUUAGAAUCUGCAAAUCUUGUAGACAUGUUUGAUGCAGGUAAUAACUGGAGUAACCCUGUCACUGAAUUCUCUACUAACCUUCUGCCGGUCAAGAGAGGCGAUCCAGGACGUCCCGUCAUCCCGAUCUCCAUCGGCAUGGUGGACGUUCCAGAAGCACUCUGCGACUUUGGCUCUAGCGUCAACAUUAUACCCAGGGUACUCUACGAAAAAUUCUUUACAUAUCCUUUAUCAGAAACAACCAUGUGUUUGCAGUUUGCAGAUCAGACGAUAACUUUUCCAAAGGGAAUAUUGAAGAACCUUUGUGUCCGAGUUGGUACCUUGUAUGUCCUAGCAGACUUCGUAGUGGUAGAGACCGGAAAUGAUGAGAGAGCACCCAUCAUCUUAGGGAGGCCAUUCUUGAACACAAUGGGAGCUAUCAUCUACGCUAGUGCUGCCAAGAUCAGUUUCUACGUCAAAGGGAGGAAGGAGACAUUUUUCUUCAAGAACAAGACUACACAAAUUCCAUAUCAAUCCAGACGUGAAUCAAGGAAGAGGACCAACAGGAGGAAUAGGAACAAGCAAGUGUGGACCGAGUCAGCUAAGAUGGUCACUGUAGUUCAUGGAGGCCAAGAUCACCAACUUAAGUCACCGCUUUUGACCAAGAAGGACGACCCAGGAAUGCCAAGCAUCUACUGCUCCAUAAAUGGAUACAACUUCUACAAGGCAACUUGUGACACCGGAUCAGGCGUCAACAUAAUGGCCGCAGUCACCUAUCGGCUCUUGUUCGGGACCAUGCCCCUAAGACCAACAUACAUUCAGCUCGAGAUGGCAGAUUAGACAUUUCGAGAAGUUAAAGGAACAGUAACUGAUGUCCCAGUCAAAAUAGACGAUCACUUUGUCUACACAGACUUUCAAGUUAUUGACAUGGGAGAAGACGAGUAUGAUCCACCCAUCAUCCUUGGAAGACCGUUCCUCAGCACCGUUAAAGCAAUUAUCUACAUUGGAACCGGAGAAGUCCAUAUGCACUUCCCCUCAGAGAAGGUACGCCGUUAUUUUACUGACCCUAACUAUGUCAUUGAAGAAUCUAAGCAGGUAAGAAAAGACGCAACCGCAACCAGAGGAGGCAGAUCAUCAGGGACGGAUGGGCAAACUACGAAGGAGAAGUUGUAAGGUCAGAAGACGUAGAGUUUAAACAGAAUUAUCCAGAGGAGAUUGAAGCACCAAGUCAGGUGUGGAAAAUGAAGAUAACUAUACAUGAAGAGGAGGCGCCGCCGGAAGUAUCGACUACGCCACCCAACGAACCUCAAGAGGAUUGAAAAAAAUGGAGAGUCCCGUUCAGAGGACUUGAAAGCACCGAACGCCUUGCCAAGAGGUAAACUUGGUAGUUAUCUUUUCCCUUUUAGUUAUUUCAAAUAGUUACUUAGUUAAUCAUAUUCACACUAUCUUAAAAAUAAAAAAGAAAAUAAAAUAUGAAAAACAGUAAGCCCCAUGUGAGUAGACGAGUGGCAUAAAACCCAUAAGUACAUUCACUGUGGUGGCAUAAAAAUAAAAUAAAUAUUUCUUUUCUGCUUUAUAAAAUAAAAAUAUAAAAACAGGGAGUAAUAAUUAUUAAGGAGUCUCAACAUGAUAAAGGCUAGAUAUUUAUGCUAACACUUAAUCAGUUCCACAAGCUUUGUUGUCUAUUUGAGCUCCACAGAAUGUAAGAAGACUAGCAGACGGAGGACACUCUAAUCGCUGUCAGAAUGCUGCUGACUUUCAAAUACACCUCUGCCACCUGCUAGCUACAUCAAGAGAAAUUACGUCAACAUUCAGCUUGGGGGAGAGCACCCCCAUUUAUCUCGAUAAGUAUUUCUAUCUAUCUAUCUUUAUACAUAUAUUAUUUUAGAGUAUAAAUAUACAUAACUAUGAAAAACCAAAUAAAGAUUUUAUGCUUAUAUAUAUAUAUAUAUGUCUUUUGCUUAGUGUGAUUAAUAAAUAAAUAAAGUGGCUUUGCUAAUCUGUAUCUAAAUAAAACUCAAGCAUGGAUAAGAUGAAUAGUUGCUCUGCCUAAUUUGCACAUUUUAAGUUCUCUCUCAAGUUUAGAUAUAACUGUUAUAAUUUAAAACUUGCUCUAGACCUAAACUUGUGGGAUGAAAACUUGAUCUGAAGUCUAAGUUGUUAACGGAUACGAUAUGGGAAGGUUGAGCUGCUGUUUAUCUGUUCCUAUAGAUGCUAGAAUUCUGGAGAAUUUUAUCUUUGAAAUCUUUAAAAUGUUGCAUGAUGAGUUCCUGUAUGAUGAGAGUUUAAAUUCCUACCACAGCCAUAUAUAUAUGCUUGCUAGACUUUGAGCCACACAUUUACUAUUUACUGCUUAUGAGCAUUGAGUGUGGUCAAGCUGUGUAGACCCUUAGGAGCUUGUCAUGUGGUUAAAUCAAGAUUCACUUGCACGUUCACUCAUAUAUGCUACUUCUACUCCGGAAGUACCAUCUAAAAAUAUUCUACUCCUAAUCCGGGAGAGAAUAGCCAAAAAUAUCUCUGUUUUUUUCCUUGUGAAAUAAAUGCUCAAGUUAUCUUGUUACUACCACUUGCUAUAUUAUCUCAAGAGAUGAGUGCUCUAAAAAAAAUAUAAAAAAAUAAAUAAAUACGAGGAAAUAAAAAGGAGCAAGUGCUCGGAACCUCGAAAGAAAAGAAAAAGUGAGACGAGAGGUAAAAAUGGACAAGUGUCCGACAGUAGAAUUAGGGGUACAAGAUACCCACCUGAGAGAAGAGAAAAAUAUAGAGCAUCUCAUUCUCCUCAUAAAGUUUCAAAAAGCAAGGAAGGUAUGUAUCCCCUCAAAAGAGCAAAAGUAGAAUUAGACUUUCACCAUUGUUAUCACCAUCAUCACCAUACACCAUUCAUUCGCCACACAUGCACAUCUUGAUUAAACUUAUUGGCUUGUUUCUUUGGAUCCAUGGUUUGACUAUGCAAUAAAUGUCUUGUAAGUAUUUAUAUUUUAUCUCCCACCUAUGAGCUCCAGAUAUUAAAGCCUUAUUAGAGUAGGGUGAGAGAGAAGACAAUGUCACUAUGCUUUAUACCACAAAAACUACAUAUCUUGAGAGAAGGCAUAUACCAUCACUGCCUUGGUAAGGAUCCAGAAAUACCACAAAAGAGAGAUCUGAGAGAAUCAUACAAGGAAUCUUUGAGUUUUAUUUGAAAAUCUGCAAAAACUCCAGAGCUAUAGCUGAUCAAGAAUAAGAGACAUGGCACUUGGCUAGACUGUUCUAUCUUUUAACCACUCAAGACAGAAGUGACGGUUACAAGUCCCGUGGUAAAGGUAAAGUAAGUAAGUUUUAAGUCUUGACAGUUUACUCUAACUCAGAGAUGAGAUCUUAUUUAAAAAGUAUGUGUACUGUCAAUUCUUUUUAAAAUAUUGCAACAACUUAUGAUCCAUAGCUGAGUCUGUCCUUGCUCAGGGACGAGCAAGAGGUAAGUUUGGGGGAGUUUGUUGACGGUCCUUAAGUAUCAAAUUUAAUUAUCAAAUAAAUAAAGAAAAGGAUCCAAAUGAAAUCAACAUCUAGACUUAGGGUUUUAACUGACAGAAUUCCACAAGUUUUGGUGUUUGUCUAUUUCUACAAGGGGUUAUCAGGAAAUACGGAAGAAAGGCCCACACGUCGGGAUUACAUAGAGAUAUUAACGUGCCGCGCAAUUAUCUUACAUCUAGAAGACUCCAGAAGCCACGAGACCGAAGCGGAGGCGAAAUGGGGUCCGAGGCAGGGCGCCCGCCCUCCUGCCCUGGGCGCCCGCCCCCUCCCUGAGUCCAAUCAGGACUCUGCUUCGUGGGAGAUCUCCACCGACCUAAAGGAUGAAUCUAAACCAUACAAUCUAUGUCGGUUUGAUCCAACGGCCCAUAUUCACUUGAAGGGACUAUAAAACCAGACCCCCUGGCCCCUGGAGGAGAGAGCCUCUCAACCCUAAUUCAUUAUUCCUCAAGGGAGAAGAAGCCUCUGAUCAAGACUAGAGCCACCACAUCAAUUAGAUAUCUAGAUUAGCAUAGCUACAUAGGAUUAGAACUAGAAGGAGUCAAUCUUUGAUUGGUUUCCGAAUCUGUCAGGAGAAUUCUUGGUAAUUCUCUAAUUGUGCUUCUAAUUGCUUUCUAAUUAUCUUUGUUCUUCAAUAUUAUGAAUAUGACUUUGUUCUACUUCAAUAUAUUGCUUAUGACUUUGCUCUACUUGCUUAUAUUCAAGAUUAUAUUGUUCUUAGUUUAUCAUAGUUAUGUAUUUGGCUUAGUUAGAUUGGAUCUAUAUACAUGCUUAGGAUCGUAUAGCGUUUAUCCAUCGGAUCCAUGGGUAAAUGAUAGAUAUUGUGUAGGCGUGGUGCUUAUACCAUAUUUAUCUGCGAUUGUACCCAAUAUGCC
This 9939-nucleotide long non-coding RNA is filed under the name Sorghum bicolor (sorghum). RNAcentral's name for it is "long non-coding RNA (SBIC_LNC010840)". The record is from RNAcentral. Lineage: Eukaryota; Viridiplantae; Streptophyta; Magnoliopsida; Poales; Poaceae.